UACGAAGGGGGCUAGCGUUGUUCGGAAUUACUGGGCGUAAAGCGCGCGUAGGCGGGUUGUUAAGCCAGAUGUGAAAGCCCGGAGCUCAACUCCGGAAUUGCAUUUGGAACUGGCAGCCUAGAGGCCAGGAGAGGUUAGUGGAAUACCGAGUGUAGAGGUGAAAUUCGUAGAUAUUCGGUGGAACACCAGUGGCGAAGGCGACUAACUGGACUGGUACUGACGCUGAGGUGCGAAAGUGUGGGGAGCAAACAGG
This 253-nucleotide unclassified non-coding RNA is filed under the name uncultured Hyphomonadaceae bacterium. RNAcentral describes it as "contains 16S-23S intergenic spacer region". It matches the Rfam family "Bacterial small subunit ribosomal RNA", at positions 524 to 776 of the family's 1533-position model. Lineage: Bacteria; Pseudomonadati; Pseudomonadota; Alphaproteobacteria; Hyphomonadales; Hyphomonadaceae. The record is from RNAcentral.